UAGUAGCAGUCUAUAGCGGCAGGCCUAACACAUGCAAGUCGAACGGUAACAGCAGAGCUUGCUCUGGCUGACGAGUGGCGCACGGGUGCGUGAACGCGUGAUGACAAUCUGCCUAUGUACUGGGGUAUAGCCCGAAGAAAUUUGGAUUAACCCCCCAUAGUAUUGAGAUAAGGCAUCUUAUUUCAAUUAAAACCACGGUGGUAAUAGAUGAGUAUGCGUCCUAUUAGUUUGUUGGUAAGGUAACGGCUUACCAAGACUUCGAUAGGUAGGGGUCCUGAGAGGGAGAUCCCCCACACUGGUACUGAGACACGGACCAGACUCCUACGGGAGGCAGCAGUGAGGAAUAUUGGACAAUGGAGGCAACUCUGAUCCAGCCAUGCCGCGUGCAGGAAGACUGCCCUAUGGGUUGUAAACUGCUUUUAUAGAGGAAGAAACCUCCCUUCGUGAAGGGAAUUGACGGUACUCUACGAAUAAGGAUCGGCUAACUCCGUGCCAGCAGCCGCGGUAAUACGGAGGAUCCAAGCGUUAUCCGGAAUCAUUGGGUUUAAAGGGUCCGUAGGCGGACUAAUAAGUCAGUGGUGAAAGUCUGCAGCUCAACUGUAGAAUUGCCAUUGAUACUGUUAGUCUUGAGUCAUUAUGAAGUGGUUAGAAUGAGUGGUGUAGCGGUGAAAUGCAUAGAUAUCACUCAGAAUACCGAUGGCGAAGGCAGAUCACUAUUAUUGUACUGACGCUGAUGGACGAAAGCGUAGGUAGCGAACAGGAAUAGAUACCCUGGUAGUCUACGCCGUAACGAAUGGUACUAGCUGUUUGGGUCGAAUGAGACNGAAGUGCNAAGCGAAAGUAUUAGUACCCACCCC
This 857-nucleotide ribosomal RNA is filed under the name Mesonia sp. D49-PB-D05. Its description in RNAcentral is "bacterial SSU rRNA". It matches the Rfam family "Bacterial small subunit ribosomal RNA", at positions 25 to 873 of the family's 1533-position model. The record is from RNAcentral. Lineage: Bacteria; Pseudomonadati; Bacteroidota; Flavobacteriia; Flavobacteriales; Flavobacteriaceae.